Molecule: long non-coding RNA, 2562 nt
Filed under: Homo sapiens (human)
Lineage: Eukaryota; Metazoa; Chordata; Mammalia; Primates; Hominidae
Description: HSALNT0147289
Source: RNAcentral
CGCCUGUAAUCCCAGCUACUUAGGAGGCUGAGGCAGAAGAAUCACUUGAACCUGGGAGGCGGAGGUUGCAGUGAGCCGAGAUCGCAGCACUGCACUCCAGCCUGGGCGACAGAGUGACCCUGUCUCCAAACAAACAAAAAAAUAGCAAAUGCAAAAUUUUAAGAAGUUAUAUUUUCUUAAAUUUUCCAAACUCCUAAUAGUGAUAUUAACAAUUUAAUUCAACUAAUCACUUGUGGACAAUAUCCCAAAAGUAUCAUGAAGCUAAGAAUAUUAUGUCUCAGACUGUUUCAUAAAUCAUUUUAAACGGGGAAAAAGGCCAAACGAUUUACCGGUAAGCACCAUCAAUCAAUCAACAAAUGAAAAACUCUGGUUAUACGUCCAUGAAAAUUUUGAUUUCAAACUAUUUAUUACAGGGCGCGAGGCUGUGUUCCGCCUCCUCCAGCUCCUCCUGAUAACCUUUUGGUUAUCAGGCGUCAACUGGAGACAACAAUCAGUUAAAAUCCAGUAAAUUUGGGGUUAAUGAAACAAAUGUUAAAAUAGAUAUAAUAUUGAUAAACAUUAGCCAAGAGAUGGUAACUACCUAACAUUGAUUAAGUAAGCAAAUAAUCAAGGCAGAGGUUUUAGCUUCCACUAAUCUAUAAAAGCAAGUGAAAAUGCUUUGAAAAUUGCAUUUUUAUGCAAUUGUUUCAAUAUCAUACCUUUGUAUGUAACAUUAAAAAGCUCAUGAUUACUUCAUUUCAAAAUUCAGAUGAGUCACAGUGCUUUCUACGCAGGAAUUGGAUGUGAAUCAAAAUUGUAAACAUGCACUUGCUUGGUAGUCAAAAAGUGAAUGUGGACAGAUACAAUGUUCGUUGACACAGUAAAACAUAAUCAUAAAAUGCAUCCUGUGUUUUUAAAAUAGUUACUUCCUGUUAACACAGUUCAGGAAACAUGCCAUCUACCCUCCUCUCCUGGAAAAUCUCAAAAUUAUACUAAUCCCAUUCCUCUUCUUACAGAUAGGCCACUGAAACCUGGAGUCAUUACUGAUACAGUUAUCAGGAUUACACCCUCAGAGCCACGAUGGUUUCAGGGAUACUAGAACCUGAAAAUAACAAAAAAAAAAAAAAUUUCCAACUCAAAUCUAGACAAUAAAACUAACAUAUAAACUGGAAUAAAACGCAGGAAAUGCCGAUUUUAAUACCUGGUAUGAGGCUGACCAUUAAGGCAUCCAUCAAAAAAGUUUGGAAUGUAUGAAUGAAUGACUGCAUGAAAUUGGCAGGAUUUCAUUCAUUUCAAAAGCUCCAAAUUCAGGAACCACACUGAGAUAUCAGGACGCCACAGCUGAAACUAAAACUCAUGAAGGGUAAAUGCAACAUAACUGCACGUCUCCACGCGUUAGCUGCUGCGAAAAUUUCAAAACAUACAUCUAACAUACUCUUUCUUCAAGUAAUUGCCGCAAGUGCGGACGGAGCCAGAGAACUAGGAGACUGAAAACAGGCCCUGCUCACCCAUAAGCCUUUGCAUUAUAAGUGGACAUGAUCUGAGUGAGUCACCGGGAAUGAGAAGGAGACAGUCACCCCAGGCCAGGCAGGACGCGGCCAGAAUCUCCUGCUCUGCCCCCAACUAGGGAACCGGUCGAAGGAGAGUGGGACGACUGCAACCUGCUGCAGCUAAGUAUGCAAGGAUCGCGCCGACCGGCUUCCGAGUCGAGAUCCCACUAAGUCCCACCGCAGUCACCACAGCCAGCCCUGCCCAGGGGCUCCCACGUGAGAAGGCUGUAACAGACAGACAGCAGCCACGAUGAAACACGCUGAAAAGAGCCAGCAGAAAAAAACGAGGAGAGACUGGUAUGACGGAGUGGAAUUCCGGUUGUGGAUGACAGAAUGGAAAUUUUACGCAAGAUGAAAGAGUUAAGACAAAUUACUCUAAAAAUAUCUGACUUAGUUGUUUCUAAACCCUGGGGCACCCUUAGGAAAAAAUAAAAAUAAAAAAACAAGUGCCUGGGCCUCAUCACUUGGUUGAAAAAGGUCUGCUGCCAGAUCUUGACAUUGAUAUUUUUCUAAGUUUCCAAAGUCAUUUUAAUGUGUAGACAAGAAGUUCUGUUUCUCAUUUGUAGGAAGAAUUUGGUUCCCCAUCACCUCAGAAAAGUAAUUAUGUAUCACAGACCGUUAACAGUUUUCCCAAUAACCAACUAUGCAUUCACCCUCUAAGAAUUUAUCUAAAUUAAUCUUGGGGCCAGGUGGGGGGGCUCACACCUGUAAUCCCAGCACUUUGGGAGGCCGAGGAGGGCGGAGUUCAAGACCAGCCUAGGCAACGUGGUGAAACCCCAUCUCUACUAAAAAAAACAUACAAAAAUUAGCCCGGCGUGGGGUUGCGCGCCUGCAGUCACGGCUACUCUACUCAGGAGGCUGAGGCAGGAGAAUCGCUUGAACCCGGGAGGCGGAGGUUGCAGUGAGCCGAGGUGGCGCCACUGCACUCCAGCCUCUGAUGGAGUGAGACUGUCACAAUCAAUCAUUCAAUCAAUCAAUAUUGAACCUACUUAAAGUUAUUCAACCUCUGUUAUCCUUUGCUUCAAAGGAGUUU